This 493-nucleotide ribosomal RNA is filed under the name uncultured Sphingobacteriales bacterium. RNAcentral describes it as "bacterial SSU rRNA". It matches the Rfam family "Bacterial small subunit ribosomal RNA", at positions 888 to 1382 of the family's 1533-position model. The record is from RNAcentral. Lineage: Bacteria; Pseudomonadati; Bacteroidota; Sphingobacteriia; Sphingobacteriales.
CCCGCUCAGAAACUCAAAUGAAUUGACGGGGCCCGCGACAAGCGGAGGAGCAUGUGGUUAAUUCGAUGAUACGCGAGGAACCUUACCUGGGCUCGAACGUAAGAUGACUGUAGGUGAAAGCUUACAUCUCUUCGGAGCAUUUUACGAGGUGCUGCAUGGUUGUCGUCAGCUCGUGCCGUGAGGUGUCGGGUUAAGUCCCAUAACGAGCGCAACCCCUACCUUUAGUUGCCAUCAGGUAAUGCUGGGGACUCUAAAGGAACUGCCUACGCAAGUAGUGAGGAAGGCGGGGAUGACGUCAAAUCAGCACGGCCCUUACGUCCAGGGCUACACACGUGCUACAAUGGCCGAUACAGAGGGCAGCUACCUGGUGACAGGAUGCAAAUCUCCAAAGUCGGUCUCAGUUCGGAUCGGAGUCUGCAACCCGACUCCGUGAAGUUGGAUUCGCUAGUAAUCGCGCAUCAGCCAUGGCGCGGUGAAUACGUUCCCGGGCCUU